AUUGAACGCUGGCGGAAUGCUCUACACAUGCAAGUCGAGCGGCAGCGCGGGGGCAACCCUGGCGGCGAGCGGCGAACGGGUGAGUAAUGCAUCGGAACGUGUCCUUAAGUGGGGGAGUAGCUCGGCGAAAGCCGGAUUAAUACCGCAUAAGCUCUGAGGAGGAAAGCGGGGGCUCCGUAAGGACCUCGCGCUGUUGGAGCGGCCGAUGUCGGAUUAGCUAGUUGGUGGGGAAAGGCCCACCAAGGCGACGAUCCGUAGCUGGUCUGAGAGGAUGAUCAGCCACACUGGAACUGAGACACGGUCCAGACUCCUACGGGAGGCAGCAGUGGGGAAUUUGGACAAUGGGGGCAACCCUGAUCCAGCCAUUCCGCGUGAGUGAAGAAGGCCUGGUGUAAG
RNAcentral lists this ribosomal RNA (396 nucleotides) under uncultured bacterium. RNAcentral describes it as "bacterial SSU rRNA". It matches the Rfam family "Bacterial small subunit ribosomal RNA", at positions 29 to 429 of the family's 1533-position model. The record is from RNAcentral.